Molecule: ribosomal RNA, 436 nt
Filed under: uncultured bacterium
Lineage: Bacteria
Description: bacterial SSU rRNA
Rfam family: Bacterial small subunit ribosomal RNA
Source: RNAcentral
AGCGAACGCUGGCGGCAGGCUUAACACAUGCAAGUCGAGCGCCUGUAGCAAUACAGGAGCGGCAGACGGGAGAGUAACACGUGGGAACAUGCCCUUCGGUUCGGAAUAACUCAGGGAAACUUGAGCUAAUACCGGAUACGUCCGUAAGGAGAAAGAUUUAUUGCCGAAGGAUUGGCCCGCGUCCGAUUAGCUAGUUGGUGAGGUAAUGGCUCACCAAGGCGACGAUCGGUAGCUGGUCUGAGAGGAUGAUCAGCCUCAUUGGGACUGAGACACGGCCCAAACUCCUACGGGAGGCAGCAGUGGGGAAUAUUGGACAAUGGGCGCAAGCCUGAUCCAGCCGUGCCGCGUGGGUGAUGAAGGCCCUAGGGUUGUAAAGCCCUUUCGGUGGGGAAGAUAAUGACGGUACCCGCAGAAGAAGCCCCGGCUAACUUCGUGC